Molecule: transfer RNA, 61 nt
Filed under: Batracomorphus extentus
Lineage: Eukaryota; Metazoa; Arthropoda; Insecta; Hemiptera; Cicadellidae
Description: tRNA-Val
Source: RNAcentral
CAGAAUGUAGCUUAUUUAAAGCUUAUUUUUUACAUUAAUAAGAAAAUUAUUUUCUUUCUGA